Molecule: ribosomal RNA, 465 nt
Filed under: uncultured bacterium
Lineage: Bacteria
Description: partial 16S ribosomal RNA
Rfam family: Bacterial small subunit ribosomal RNA
Source: RNAcentral
GACGAACGCUGGCGGCGUGCUUAACACAUGCAAGUCGAACGGAAAGGCCCCCUUGUGGGGUACUCGAGUGGCGAACGGGUGAGUAACACGUGAGUAACCUACCCUUGACUUUGGGAUAACUUCAGGAAACUGGGGCUAAUGCCGGAUAGGAGCUCCUGCUGCAUGGUGGGGGUUGGAAAGUUUCGGCGGUUGGGGAUGGACUCGCGGCUUAUCAGCUUGUUGGUGGGGUAGUGGCUCACCAAGGCUUUGACGGGUAGCCGGCCUGAGAGGGUGACCGGCCACAUUGGGACUGAGAUACGGCCCAGACUCCUACGGGAGGCAGCAGUGGGGAAUAUUGCACAAUGGGCGGAAGCCUGAUGCAGCAACGCCGCGUGCGGGAUGACGGCCUUCGGGUUGUAAACCGCUUUCGCCUGUGACGAAGCGUGAGUGACGGUAAUGGGUAAAGAAGCACCGGCUAACUACGUG